AUUUAUCUAAUAUAUAAGUAUAUUUGACUUCCAAUCAAAAUGACUGAUUCAAUUCAGGAUAAAUA
RNAcentral lists this transfer RNA (65 nucleotides) under Macromia daimoji. RNAcentral describes it as "tRNA-Gly". Lineage: Eukaryota; Metazoa; Arthropoda; Insecta; Odonata; Macromiidae. The record is from RNAcentral.